GACGAACGCUGGCGGCGUGCUUAACACAUGCAAGUCGAGCGGUAAGGCCCUUCGGGUACGACGAGCGGCGAACGGGUGAGUAACACGUGGGUGACCUGCCCUCCACUUCGGGAUAAGCCCGGGAAACUGGGUCGUAAUACCGGUUAGGACCUCCUCAUGCAUGUGGGGUGGUGGGAAAGCUUGUGUCUUUGAUGCUUGCGGUGGGGAGU
RNAcentral lists this ribosomal RNA (209 nucleotides) under uncultured bacterium. Its description in RNAcentral is "partial 16S ribosomal RNA". It matches the Rfam family "Bacterial small subunit ribosomal RNA", at positions 28 to 226 of the family's 1533-position model. The record is from RNAcentral.